AAAUUACAUCUAUUAUUUCUUUUACCCUCAUCCAUUUCGCUGGUCGCUUAAAUUCUUUUCACACCUUAAAGUUACGGUAAAAAAAUUAAAAUUCCAGCUAAACUAUUACAGAUAUGACUAAAAUGUAUAUGAGCAAUUUUGUAGAUAAUUAAAUUCUCUACAAAAAAUGUCUUAUAAAAUUUUUACGUAUGUCUAUUUAUUUCACUGUACUUACAACUUUAAGUAAAAAAAGUAAAUUUUCAUUUAUUGGAGUUUUUAAAUUUAUUUGUUCUUAUUUGUUUGCUCUGUAACUUUGAAACUAUCAGAGAUACGUUAAUAAGUAUGAGGACCUUUUUUGUAGAAAAUUAAAUUUCCUAUAGAUUUUGUUUCAAAAAUUUUUUUGUAACUUUUAUAGUUUUAGUUUAAAUUGAAUUUUAAAAUAAAAACUACUUCAAUUUUUUUCUGGAUUUGAAUUUUUAUAUUUUGAUGGGUUUAUACAUAUAAGUAAUUGUCUAAAAAAAGUAUAUAUUUAAAAAUUUUUUAUUGAUUAUUGUUAAUUAAUAAACCAUGAAUUGUCUAUACUGAGUACUGAAUUACUGCGUAAUUAAUUUUCAAAUUUUAUUCCAUUGCGUCAAAAAUAUGACUAAUUAUUUUUAUGUUGUUUAAUUAAUCUGUGACGCCGAUGCUCAAUCAUUUUACGGAGCACGUAAUAAAUAUUUACUGUAGUAUGUAUGAUUCAUUAUUAUGAUUAAUAAGUGCGAUGUUAUGGGAUUAUCGUCUGGUAGCAGAUAGACAAUAAAUGAUGAAAUUAGUUUGAUAAUAAAUGAAAUCUUGAUAACGAAAAAAAUUCAGUAUAAAUAGGCGGGAAAAAAAAAUGAAUUUAUUGAGUCAAGUAAACGUCAGUUUAUCUGAGUGAACUUAUAAGUCUACUGGUGAUUUGAGUAAAGAAAAUUGAGUAUUUGAAAAUGUCCAAGUUAAUGAUUAUCUUCGUCGUUCUUUGUGUUGUUGUCGCUGUAAUUAUGCCACAAAUUGUCGAUGGAGCACAAGGAAAAUGCAAAGGACCUGGUUUAUCAUGUAUGUCUAAUUGGGAAUGCUGUUCAAAACACUGUGCUAAAGUUGCUGGCAAAGCUUUUGCUAAACCAUUUAAAUCUAUUUGUCGUUAACAAAAUUACGAUUAUAAUAAUCUACAUCUGUAUAAUCAAGCGAUGUAAUAAAUAGAUUUUAUAUAAAAAUCACAAAUUUCUUUUCUUAUAAUUUCUUUAUUUUUUAUUUUAAUACUUACGGUUUAAACUUAAAAAAAUUUAAUUAUAAUUUAACUUUAUCUUUUAGAAAAUCCGAAAUUACUAUUUAUAAAAAAAAAGUUGGGGCAAGUUGGUCAGCCCGACAGUGCGGAAAAUUUUUAAUUUUAAGUAAAAAAAAAGUUUGUUGCAGUUACGGCCCAUUUUACCUCAGACUCUUCAGAUUCUUUAUGAAUAAUUAAAAAAAAUAACUGUUAUUAUUAAAAAUUGGAAAUUGGCCACAAUGUCUAGGUUGACCAGCUUGCCCCAUUAUUUUCCGGAAGCAGUAAUCGGUUUAAAAAUAAUAUUUUCUUUUUUCUCUAAAGUAAUGUGCCAUUUUACCCCGUUUCUAGAAAAAUUUGAAUUAAAUAACGAACUGUAGUAUAGUAUAUAAAU
Molecule: long non-coding RNA, 1652 nt
Organism: Microplitis demolitor
Lineage: Eukaryota; Metazoa; Arthropoda; Insecta; Hymenoptera; Braconidae
Exons: 3
Source: RefSeq, a predicted model, not a curated record